GACGAACGCUGGCGGCGUGCCUAAUACAUGCAAGUCGAACGCACGAAGUUGAAGAGCUUGCUCUUUAACCAAGUGAGUGGCGGACGGGUGAGUAACACGUGGGUAACCUGCCCAUUAGAGGGGGAUAACAUUCGGAAACGGAUGCUAAUACCGCAUAGUUUCAGGAAUCGCAUGAUUCUUGAAGGAAAGGUGGCUUCGGCUACCACUAAUGGAUGGACCCGCGGCGUAUUAGCUAGUUGGUGAGGUAAUGGCUCACCAAGGCAAUGAUACGUAGCCGACCUGAGAGGGUGAUCGGCCACACUGGGACUGAGACACGGCCCAGACUCCUACGGGAGGCAGCAGUAGGGAAUCUUCCGCAAUGGACGAAAGUCUGACGGAGCAACGCCGCGUGAGUGAAGAAGGUUUUCGGAUCGUAAAACUCUGUUGUUAAAGAAGAACAAGGAUGAGAGUAACUGCUCAUCCCCUGACGGUAUUUAACCAGAAAGCCACGGCUAACUACGUGCCAGCAGCCGCGGUAAUACGUAGGUGGCAAGCGUUGUCCGGAUUUAUUGGGCGUAAAGCGAGCGCAGGCGGUUCUUUAAGUCUGAUGUGAAAGCCCCCGGCUCAACCGGGGAGGGUCAUUGGAAACUGGAGAACUUGAGUGCAGAAGAGGAGAGUGGAAUUCCACGUGUAGCGGUGAAAUGCGUAGAUAUGUGGAGGAACACCAGUGGCGAAGGCGACUCUCUGGUCUGUAACUGACGCUGAGGCUCGAAAGCGUGGGGAGCAAACAGG
This 771-nucleotide ribosomal RNA is filed under the name uncultured Vagococcus sp. RNAcentral's name for it is "bacterial SSU rRNA". It matches the Rfam family "Bacterial small subunit ribosomal RNA", at positions 28 to 776 of the family's 1533-position model. Lineage: Bacteria; Bacillati; Bacillota; Bacilli; Lactobacillales; Enterococcaceae. The record is from RNAcentral.